RNAcentral lists this ribosomal RNA (352 nucleotides) under uncultured Sphingobacteriales bacterium. RNAcentral's name for it is "bacterial SSU rRNA". It matches the Rfam family "Bacterial small subunit ribosomal RNA", at positions 1031 to 1382 of the family's 1533-position model. Lineage: Bacteria; Pseudomonadati; Bacteroidota; Sphingobacteriia; Sphingobacteriales. The record is from RNAcentral.
CUGCAAGGUACUGCAUGGUUGUCGUCAGCUCGUGCCGUGAGGUGUCGGGUUAAGUCCCAUAACGAGCGCAACCCUUAUCGUUAGUUGCCAGCUGGUAAAGCAGGGGACUCUAGCGAAACUGCCACCGUAAGGUGAGAGGAAGGUGGGGAUGACGUCAAAUCAGCACGGCCCUUAUGUCCAGGGCUACACACGUGUUACAAUGGCCGGCACAGAGGGCAGCUACCUGGUGACAGGAUGCUAAUCUCGAAAACCGGUCUCAGUUCGGAUCGAAGUCUGCAACUCGACUUCGUGAAGCUGGAUUCGCUAGUAAUCGCGCAUCAGCCAUGGCGCGGUGAAUACGUUCCCGGGCCUU